CUUGUGUAUUACCAAUGGUUUUCCCCUCUUAAUCCUAAAUAUGAAUGCUUCACAUUCACUUGGCAUUCUCCUUAAAAUUCCCUGCUAUUUCCACACCUCUAAUCCACAUGGGGAAAGCAAUGGAGGGAAGUAUACUAGGGAAAGAGGGGAUUGUGGCCGACUUCAGUCGUUUCUAUAAUCAUUUAAAUUUUCCCCAAAUCAUAGGCAGGCUGACAUUUUAAAAAUUCUUUUGAAGAGUGGAAUGUGUUUUGCUUCAAUAAAUACUACUUUUGGAGGACUAGAAAUUCAGGCACAACUUAAAGGUGAAAUGCUCCACCACACUCUUAGGAUCACAACAAAAUCUAAGGGCCAAAUUCUCGGCUUGGAUAAUUCUGAAUACUGCUCUUGUUUUGAAGGCAAUGAUACUAGGACUGCCAAAAUCCGGUGUAAAGCUCAAGAAAGAACCUGGGGCCAGCCCAGAUAUCCGCAAGGCAAGUGUUUCAUGACAGAGCAAUUAUUUAAUCUGAUGCCCAGAUCAGACUAGUCAAUACUGAUUGACUGAAAACAAAUUCGAGCAGCUGCCCUCGCUUCUUAUAGUUAGGAUCUCCCUUGCGCCUGCCUUAAAAUUCAGCCCCCGGACUCCACACGGUUCACACCAGGGCUGGAAGCUGAACCGGUUUCUGACUCUGAAGGCAGAGUGAAGCCUAUGGGAUGAGACAAGCUGUCCACGCAGCAAUUCUGUGAAGCCUCCACGAGAAAAUCUGGGUCCCAUCACAGCCCUGUGCUGAACAAGGAAAGUGACAGCAAGUGGCAUCAUCGGGAUGGGGAAAGGGCGGCUUUCUGACCCACACUGGGAAGUGUGGCCACCUUAUUAGUUUGAACAAGGGGAGCAAUUCUACCUUGAGGAAGUUGUGUGCACAAUAGAGAUCUUCUGGAGGAGGUGACUGAAGAAAAGCUUUUUUCUUUCUUCUUUUUUUUUUUUUUAAUUGUACACCAAGCAGAUACAGAUGCACAAAUGCAAGAGGCGUUAAAACCCUGGAACACAGAAAAUGAAGCUAAAGCUCAGUGUCAUAUUUGUAGCACAUCUUAUUAAUGAAUAGAUAUGAAAUAAUACUUGAUAAGAACGUACACAGAAAAUACUUACCUCUUGCAUGUAACUGUAAGCUUAUUACACUGUUCUCACACUACUGUGCCUUUUAAAGUUCAGUUGACUUCACUUAAGUUUCACUUAAGUGAAAGAUCCUAUGGUUCAGGAUCUGCUUUAGGUGCUGAAUCUGGAGAGAUGGGUAAUGGGCUCUUCCAGUUUCUCCUUUGAUUUUUAGCUAGAUGUGGAGCUGGCCAAGCACAAGCAGAAAUGGUUCCCAGGAAUUAUUGCAAGAGCUGGCUGGCACCACCGCAGGGACCGUUCUGCCCGGAUCAGGGCAGGUCAGGGCCUCCGAGGAGAGACCUACCGGACAUGUGGGCAGAGCAGAGGAAGGAAUCUCUUUGCCUGCUCUGUUUCCCACUCAGUAGGGCAGACUCAAUAUUUGUGAAAUUUCCCGAGACAGACACAGAUCAAGAAGCAAAGAUUAGAUUAUGGAGCAAGGUAUCAAAUAUAACCUUAUGUUAAGCUCGGAAUAGGAAAACAGCCCCCACUUUGGUACAGAAAAGUGGGAAAAGGAUUGCAACCAUCCGCACAGCAGAAUUUCUAAAUCUAAAAUGUAAAGUAAGUAACUAGCUAAAAAUGAGGACAGAUUUGCAUGGAAUGUGUGUAAAGCAGUGUAGCCCUAGAGCAACUGUGACCUAUGUGAGAAAUUAUGUGGGUUUCUCUGUUAACUAGAAAAAUGAAGUGUAAUUUCCAGUACCACAGCAACAUUAUGCAUAGUACUGAAUUUCUUUAGGAAAAGCACAGAAAUAAAUAAUGCACAAUU
Molecule: long non-coding RNA, 1889 nt
Organism: Rhea pennata
Lineage: Eukaryota; Metazoa; Chordata; Aves; Rheiformes; Rheidae
Exons: 3
Source: RefSeq, a predicted model, not a curated record